ACGGGGUGCAGCAGGCGCGAAAACUUUGCAAUGUGCGAAAGCACGACAAGGUUAAUCCGAGUGAUUUCUGCUAAAGGAAUCUUUUGUCAGUCCUAGAAACACUGUUGAAUAAGGGGUGGGCAAGUUCUGGUGUCAGCCGCCGCGGUAAAACCAGCACCUCAAGUGGUCAGGAUGAUUAUUGGGCCUAAAGCAUCCGUAGCCUGCUUUGUCAGUUUUCGGUUAAAUCCAUACGCUUAACGUAUGGGCUGCCGGAAAUACUGCAUAGCUAGGGAGUGGGAGAGGUAGACGGUACUCGGGAGGAAGGGGUAAAAUCCUUUGAUCUCUCGAUGACCACCUGUGGCGAAGGCGGUCUACCAGAACACGUCCGACGGUGAGGGAUGAAAGCUGGGGGAGCAAACCGGAUUAGAUACCCGGGUAGUCCCAGCUGUAAACUAUGCAAACUCAGUGAUGCAUUGGCUUGAUGCCAAUGCAGUGUUGCAGGGAAGCCGUUAAGUUUGCCGCCUGGGAAGUACGUACGCAAGUAUGAAACUUAAAGGAAUUGGCGGGGGAGCACCACAAGGGGUGAAGCCUGCGGUUCAAUUGGAGUCAACGCCGGA
This 596-nucleotide ribosomal RNA is filed under the name uncultured Nitrosopumilales archaeon. Its description in RNAcentral is "bacterial SSU rRNA". It matches the Rfam family "Archaeal small subunit ribosomal RNA", at positions 325 to 922 of the family's 1478-position model. Lineage: Archaea; Thermoproteati; Nitrososphaerota; Nitrososphaeria; Nitrosopumilales. The record is from RNAcentral.